CUACAGGCGUGAGCCACUGUGCCUGGCCAUAAUCUUGUAACUCUUUACAGAUAUAUUCUGAAUCUAAUCUUUUGAGGUUUCUUGGUGGAGGAAGCCUGAGAGGAAGAACACCCCCAUUGUAAGUUGGGAACCAAGAUUCUAAUAAGUGACACACUCCAAGUCACUUAGAAUGGCGAGAAAUGAUUCCAGAAAAGAAUCUCUGUUUCCUGGCAACCAGCUCAGUACUCUCUGAAGGGCACUUGGAAGGAAAGUUCAAUCAAUGGAAGGGUCAAAUGUUUCUUUUUCAAAUGGCCAUUUUGCAUGUAAUGGCUGUUCUGUGCAGACAUUGUGGGCUGUUCUUCUCUUGUUCAUAAGAUCUAGGGUCCUUCUGUGCAAAUGUAUGUGCUGUGGGUAAGAAAUUACUUCAACUGAGUUUAUUGGCAUUUCUUAGCACAUACGAGUUCGAAGAAAAUUUAUUACAGGUAGUUGCAGUCUGGCAUCAUGUGGCACAUCAUCACUGUCUCUUCUGCAAAUUUCUGAGAAUAAGAAGAAUUGGUUGAAAAAACUUCUAACAUCUCCAUCGGUUUGUAAUCAGCGAAUACAAUUAUGAAGCAAUUUCCUACCUGUUUUUUUAUUUGAUCCAUGAACUUUUCAAGAGAUGUGUGCUAUUGCUGUUGUGACCAUUAGCUCCCAUUUCUCAGAUGAGGAAACUGAGGCUCAGUGAGCCUUAAAUGACUUGCCCAAAACUAUAAGGUCAGUUAGUGGUGGAACUUCUGCCUUCAAAUUUCUUGUCUUUUCCUGGAAGCAAUGUUGGCCCCCAGAUAAGAAACCACAGUUCAUAACCUCCUGUUAUUGUUGUCAAAACCUUCACCAACUUAUUGGAAAAACAAUAAUUAUAAAAAUAAUAAAAUUAGAUAAGGUGUUUUAUUGCAUUUCGUUUAUGCAGCAAAUACAAGGCAUAAACUGUGCCUCUCUAAGGUGGUCUCCCAAGAUGGAGAAUGGACUUUCUUAAGGGAGAAUCGCCAGGAUGUGCAUGUGGGCAUCUCUGACUUUUCUACUGCACUGGCUGCAAGCCCUGGCUAGGGCCCCGGGUAACGACUUUCACAAGAAUCCAGGGCUAGGAACUCCCAUUUUGUCCAAUAGGGCACAGAGGCUCCCCACAGCAUAUUCACCGGCCUCCCUCACUCCAGUAUCCCUCUUCCCCUGGCUUGCUGCCUCAUUGUCCAUACUACCCUCGCAGCAGGCUGGAAACACAGACAAGUGGGGCUGGCAAUACAGGAGGCUUCCAAGACUUUAGAGUUUAAUUGCAGGUCUGGAAAGAUGGGAAGCCCAAAGGUAGGACCUCUAGGCCUUCCUGGAGGGUGCGGCAGGCUUCAAGUGCUCUGACCCAGUAGCUCCAUUUGUGCACAUGAUUGGAAAAGAGCAUUAUGGGAAAGUCCUUCAGUGAAUAAAUACAAGAUGGUGGUGGAGCAUGGGGGUGGGGAUUGAGUUUGAAUCCUGCCUCUGCCACCUGAUAAUUAAAAGACUUCCUAAUCUCUGUGACUCUGUCUUAUCAUGGAAGCAAAAUAGAGGUAGCAUUAUCUGCCAUUCCUGGUAUUUAAGGCUGUUAUAAAAACUCAAUGAGUCAUUAAGUAAAAGCACUUUAAAACCUAUAAAAUACCAAAAAAACCACCCCACAUCUGCUUGAUUUUUGUUGU
RNAcentral lists this long non-coding RNA (1676 nucleotides) under Homo sapiens (human). RNAcentral's name for it is "HSALNT0339974". Lineage: Eukaryota; Metazoa; Chordata; Mammalia; Primates; Hominidae. The record is from RNAcentral.